GACGAACGCUGGCGGCGUGCUUAACACAUGCAAGUCGAGCGGUAAGGCCCUUUCGGGGGUACACGAGCGGCGAACGGGUGAGUAACACGUGGGUGACCUGCCCUCAGCUCUGGGAUAAGCCUGGGAAACCGGGUCUAAUACUGGAUAUGACUCCAUGACGCAUGUUGUGGGGUGGAAAGCCUUGUGCGGCUGAGGAUGGGCCCGCGGCCUAUCAGCUUGGUUGGUGGGGUGANGGGCCUACCAAGGCGACGACGGGUAGCCGGCCUGAGAGGGCGACCGGCCACACUGGGACUGAGACACGGCCCAGACUCCUACGGGAGGCAGCAGUGGGGAAUCUUGCGCAAUGGGCGAAAGCCUGACGCAGCGACGCCGCGUGAGGGAUGACGGCCU
This 390-nucleotide ribosomal RNA is filed under the name uncultured bacterium. RNAcentral describes it as "bacterial SSU rRNA". It matches the Rfam family "Bacterial small subunit ribosomal RNA", at positions 28 to 417 of the family's 1533-position model. The record is from RNAcentral.